Molecule: long non-coding RNA, 2674 nt
Organism: Bombyx mori (domestic silkworm)
Lineage: Eukaryota; Metazoa; Arthropoda; Insecta; Lepidoptera; Bombycidae
Exons: 4
Source: RefSeq, a predicted model, not a curated record
GGAUUUUUUUCCAUUAAUUUACAAGGUUUCAUUAAAUGAUAAUGAAUCAAUCGAUUCAAACGUUUGUUUAAGCGUUGGGUUGCGAUUUAGCAUGUAAGUAUAAACAAUUGGGGUCUUAAUCACGAAAACGAUCGGCAGCUGUAUCACGUAUUUCGCAGACAAUUAGCAGAAGACAAAUAUUGUGCAAAUAUUGCUGUCAACUGUCCAUUUCGUAUUACGGACUUACAACAAAAAAGCAGAUCGCGGACCAUCACUAGUGCUGCCUCUGCAGAGCGAUUUGUGAAACUUUAGUGCAUUCUUUUCCAUACAACUAACAACAACUGGCUUAAAGUCGGUAUUACGGAUGCUUUUGUCUGCCACACAACAACAGAUAUUUAGCAAUUUCGUUUGUCAAAUUUGCGACACCUUUUGUAUCUGGUGCUGAAUUGUUGCUAACUAUCUGCAAGUGUAAAAUUUGUGAAAUUAAAUUAUUUUAACUUGAUUUAGGUAUGUAUGGACAGAGCUCAAAUAAUGGGGCUUUGGAGUCUAAGGAAAUUAGGUGGGAUACAUACGAAUCAGUGCGUUUGCGACGCUGUCUUCGGGAUCAAGCCUGACCCCUUAAUCUAUCGGAAAGUUUGUUCAGAACACAUUACAGAAUUUCGAAACAUCAAUAUUUACAAUUGUGCUCUGAAUUAAAGCCGUUAAUAACCUAGAUCAUCAAGACGAAUAAGAAUAGAAAGUAAAAUGCAAGGUGUUAACAGCAUUGCAAAAUUUCAUACCAGAAACCUGUGGGAAUGAGCUUUUUGCAUUUUGAGUUAAACUAGUAAAUCCAAUGCCAUUAGGGAAGUGGCUAUGGCAUUAAACAAUCUUCCAGUUUUAUUGAAACAUUUAAAGUUUCUGCAAACAGUACAAUGGGUCACAAGUUAUUAUAAAUGGGUUUUACAAUAAAUUUGGCUUUCCUGGGGUUUCGGGGUGUAUAGAUGGCACUCAUUUGCACUUAUCAGAUCUUCUGUAUAUGAAGAAAGGUUUUAGAACCGCAAGCAUUAUCAUUUCAAGAAUGUGCAAAUAGUAAGUAUUUUGCUGAAGCCUAUCAUUCACAAUAACAAACAUUUGAUAGUACUUAUCUAAAGAAUUAAAUUUUUCAGAUAUGUGAUAGUGAUCUUAACAUUUUUAGUAUUGAUGCAACAUUUCAUGAUACAUUUGUCCGGCUUAUCACAACUGAAUAUGCCUAUGCAGGACCUGCACCAUAAUAGUGAAAAAGUUUGGUUUUUAGGCAAGUAAAACAUCAUGAGCUCUGUCUCAGUAACCUGACUACAAAAUAAUACUCAAUCUAAAAGUAUAUUUAAAACUGGGAAGGCAGUUAAUAUAUAGUACUAUAGUAAUGUUUAUUGUCAUACCAGGAACACUGUUGACCAUUGUGAGUAUUGAAAGCCAGUUGGAGAUGCUUGUUGGUACAUAGAGUACUGCAUUAUGAUCAUCAUAUUAUGAUGGCCAAGACCAUAAUUGUUAGCUUGUAUUGCACUUACCACUACACCAGACGGCCGUUAGAUAAGUUUGAUAAUUAUUAUUUUUGUGUAAUUUUGUUUUAUUUGAAUAAUAAUUCUUAAAUUAGGAAAUCGUAGUUUGUUUGUAAUACAUGUCCAACUUCUCGCCGCAUGAAAUUGAAGCCACAAUUGAAAUAUAAUAGCGACUGCCGAUAACUUCAAAGAAAUAUAACUGAACUUGGGGCCGAGGUAAGUAGGAUGAUAGCAAGGUGAUAGCUCUAUAACCCUAUAGACUAGAAGCAGAACAUGCCAAAUACUGUGAGUACAAAAUAUACAAUGAAGCUAAAUACUGGUAUUCUACUGGUGGUAGGACCACUUGUGAGUCCGCACGAGUAGGUACCACCGCCCCGCCUAUUUCUGCCGUGAAGCAGUAAUGCGUUUCGGUUUGAAGGGUGGGGCAGCCGUUGUAACUAUACUGAGACCUUAGAACUUAUAUCUCAAUGUGGGUGGCGCAUUUACGUUGUAGAUGGCUAUGGGCUCCAGUAACCACUUAACACCAGGUGGGCUGUAAGCUCGUCCACCCAUCUUAGCAAUAAAAAAAUAAAUAGUCAUUUUGAAAUGCUAAGUUGAGAGUAGUUUUAUUAGCGUAAAAUAUACUCAUUAGUGUCAUAAAAUUAGUGUAGUACCAGCCUAAAGUAAAACGUAUAUAUUAUUAUUUGGAUUUGCUUGACUAUUGUAACAAGCGCUAUUUCGUUUUUAUGGUAAUAUAAACUAUUAUGGACUCUGCUAAAAUUAAAACAAAAUUGAACUUAUUAUUUUAAACAAGGUUUUUGCCGAUAUUGGUCAAUUCCUUGAAUUUUUUUAUAUAUCUCAGCUGGAAGAUGCGCGGCCUCUGCCUGCGUACGAGCAGCCUCUGCUGAAAUGAAAGCUGCAUGAGCCAGUGGUUCGCCUUAGUUUCCAUUUUCUCCUCUUUCUACAACUACAGCUCACGAUGUGUCUACUCUUGUUUGUUGUCCGCUAUAGUCUAGAUAAUAUAAUGAUUGAUUAACAUUCUUACUGCAGUGAGUGAGUGCAAAGAGUACCUGGUUAAUGAAUAAAAAUAACUUACUAAAUAUCGGCCUGAUAUUUGCAAUGAAGCUUCUCUUAAGAUGGCUUCGUCGACGAAAAACUGGGCUAAUUAUAAAAAUAAAUAUUUAUUUAUUGUCUUAAAA